This 462-nucleotide ribosomal RNA is filed under the name Triticum aestivum (bread wheat). RNAcentral describes it as "partial small subunit ribosomal RNA". Lineage: Eukaryota; Viridiplantae; Streptophyta; Magnoliopsida; Poales; Poaceae. The record is from RNAcentral.
AUGUUGUCCGAGUACAAGGACACCGUCGAGCGCCGCUACUACACGCUCACCGGGGAGGUCCCCGAGGACGAGGUCAUCGAGCGCAUCAUCUCUAAGGGCCGCGGCGAGGAGAUCAUGAGCGCCGCAGUCGCCGAGCACGGCAAGGGCGCCGUGCUCGCCGCGCUCAACGAGAUCCAGGACCGCCACGACGCCGCCAGGGAGGUGGAGCGCAGCCUCCUCGAGCUCCACCAGGUGUUCCUCGACAUGGCUGUCGUCGUGGAGGCGCAGGGGGAGAAGAUCAACGACAUCGCGCACCACAUGAGCAACGCCAGGGACUACGUCCACUCCGGCAACAAGGAGCUCGGCAAGGCCCGCGAGCACCAGCGCGGCAGCCGCAAGUGCCUCUGCAUCGGCAUCAUCCUGCUGCUGCUCCUCAUCCUCAUCGUCAUCGUCCCCAUCGCCACCAGCCUCAGGAGGUCAUGA